CAGAGGGGAAGCUGGGUCUGAGUUUAUCAGAAGGGUGUUCCCUUCCCUUCCAGCUUCCCAGGCAGGAAGGGCAGACAAGAGGGUUUUGUUACUCUGCCCUCUGAACUGGUUUAAGAUUCGCAUGUAGGUUUUGGAAGUAGCCCCUGAGGGAAGGGAUGGGAAAUGGUUUGCAGUUAGGAUUAUUUUUUUUCCUGCCCUGGCUAGUGAACAUUCGGAAUGGCCUCUUUGGCAUAUCUUUCCAAGUUACGACUGCCUGUGGAAGUGAGAAGGUUCCCUGAGCUCAGCUGAGAGGCGGUGAGGGAACUGAACUGGCAGUUUUGCCAGACUACUGGCAGUGAAUACGGUAUAGGAUAGAAUAUUCUGUAUGUGGAGUAUUCUGUAUCAUUGGUAUAGAAUAGAAUAAAGGUUUCAAUUUGUAUGACUAAGCUGUAAAUUCAUCCAGAAGACGGAUUCCAUUCUGCUUUUCCUUUACUACUGUGAAAGGAAGGAACCUUUGGUAGAGCUAAAUGGGUAGCAUGUAACCAGACAGAUAAUGUGGAGUGACUUCUAGCCUGAAAGUCAGUUUUGAUUCUUGAAGUUUUUGUUGUCUCUGUAUAUAUCUGGAGUGUGGUAUGACUUUGUUGCCCUUUACAAUGCAAAUCAUCAGAGAGGAACCACGUGUAAUUUAUUUAUCAGCACAAACAGGGUCAAUACAUUGACUUCUGUAAUAGAUACAGGGUAACAAUACUGGGAAAGGAAACACAGGGAAGCAGUACAUGUUGCUCAAGUAAAGACAGUGUCCUGUGAUAUUGUCUUCAAAUUGAUAUCAGAAUAAUCAUUUAUGGUAUUUCUCAUGAUUUUCCUGUGUCUCCAUGAAUUAACUGACACAUCUCUGUGAUGCUGUGAUCCCUGAGUCCCUCUAGCAACCUAUGAAUUCUGUUUUGGAAUGGAGUCUGAAUGCUGAGAAGUCUUCAACAUGAAGAAACAACGGCAGUACUAGCAGCGGUUGGAAAAUGUCAGCUUGACAGCAAAUAUGAAGCUGAAAUUCCCAUGUCUUCCUUCCUUGAUGUGCCAUUACUGGGGGCGCUAAGAUACUACAAGAGAUACUGGAUGUGAUAAGCAGAAGUCUAAGCUACCUGCUCCUUUUUGCAAGUGCUGAUAACUCCUGUCUUUUGACUGAAGUACAGUGUGAGUAACUGUAUUCUUCCUACCUAAAAUUCAUCUACAGUUUCAACUGAACGUGUUCUUCAUAGCCGCAGUUACCCUGUGCGGUCUACGAGUUACCAAAUGACAAGUGCCCACUCGUCCGUUCUUAUGCUGUUUCAGAUGACCAACAGUCUUGGAGGAAGAGGGUUUCAGGGGUGAGGAGAGAGGGAAACUUUGUUCCUGGAAAUUUAGUCUGUAGGGCUGUUCUGCACAGCUCUUAAUAGAGCCCAAGACACAUCUUCACUGCAGUGAGAAAAAAAUACAGUGAUUGUCACGUGAUCAGUUGUCAUGAGAAAAGAAAGUUACUUGACCUAGGGUCUCAUCAGAAUUCAUCAUACAGCAGUUUUAUUGUUUUUUGUUUCUUUGUUUUGGUUUGGUUUUUGUGUGUGUGUGUUUUUUUGUUCCUCCUGCUUGAGCUUUGUACUCUCAAGUCCUUGCAAAGACAAGUUUGGUUUUUUUCUUCACUACAUCAAAAAUGUUUAUUUUCCAUUUUAAGAUGAUUCUUUUUUCUAUAUCUGGCUGGUGUCUUCAUCUAAAUAAAGAAGUCAGGAAAGCAAGGUAGGGAAUAAAUAGUGCCUCUAGGAAGAGAUGUUCAAGCAAUUGUAUCACUGUUUUCAUAUUUGGGAGACCAGAGUGUAAGUCCAUUAUCUCAGGAGCAUUCAUAUAGUAGGUAGGUGUUUUCACCUUUCUGCACUUCAGCUCCUCAGUUCUGCAGUAAGGCUAAUAGUAACAUGUAGCAAGGCAGUGCUGUAGUGUAUACCAGCUCACUGUGGUUUGAGUAUAUCCAUUGGGUGGGAAUAUUUGUAGCCCUGGUGCUUCAUCAGUAUUGCUUUAGGGCAUUGGACUGUGGUUCUAGCAAAAGCUAUGCCACUUCACUCAAUGAACUCUCAGCUGUUGAGAGGGGGAGACCAAAGCCAUUGCUUUGGUAGUUUUUUCAACAGACUAAUGAAGGAGUUAGUGAGUAUUUUGCACAGAGUGGUGGGGUGUUCUUGUUUGUUUAUUUUUGCUUGUUAUUCCCCCUCCUCCACAAAAAAUACUAGAGAUCACUUGCAUGCAUAUGCACAGUGGGAGAGGAUGCCCAACUGAGAUGCAAGCACAAAUGAAAAAACUUGCAAAGUUCAAAACUGACACAAUCCCAAGGUCUUCCUACUAGGAAAAAAAAAGAAAAAAAAAAAGUUCCUUUAUUUUUUCCUUAACUGAAGAAAAGAUAUGCUUCAUCUUCCUUUUUAAAAGUGCAUGCGUUUAAAUCAGUACUCCGAUUAUGGGGAAGGAAGAGAGGGGUAUUCCAGUUCCCAAAGCCUGUUUUUAAUCAUCAGAUUACUUUUGAGACAAUCUCUGUACAUUCAGCACUUGUGGUCAGUUCUCACCACCAAAAAGCUAGUGGUUUUUGCAGACAUUCCAUAAACACAGGAAGCUUUGACUGUGUCUCUAACAGAUAGGGAGACAGAAAAGCAAAAUACCCACAAUAUAAAGGCAAAAUCUAAACCUGACAUGCGAGCUCAGAACAAUGACUUAUGUAGUCCAGAAGUCUAUCUCUCAUAGUCUGAGCCAGAUGUUUCGAAAAGAAUGCCGAAAAUCUGUGAAGUACAAUUCUGACAUAACCUGCCUAUGGUUUAGAUUUCUUUUUAAUUGCUGACUUCCUCCCUGAACCAUGGAGCUUUAUAUUCUGUUUUAGUCUUUGUUUUGCAUUUGUUUCUUGGAAGGAGGGAAAGGGGCAAUGUAGAAGGCUGCAAAUGUGCUGUGCAAAAUUCCCUUGGUGUUUUGGAUGCCUGAUGAUCUCAUAGCCAUUCGGUCCUAAUUUGUAUCUGCAGAAGUCUUAGCCUUAAUUAUACCUGCAGCAGUACUUUCAUGGAUUAAACAUAUUUCAUCCAAGAUUUCUGUUCAUCCAUUCUAGGAAUUCUGUCCACCAACUCCCUAUGGAAUGUCUCAUUUUUCUUUUAACAUGGGAAUAGCCAAAAAGAAAUUCAUGUCUUUUUCCUGCAGCAUUUAUUGUUUUUGUAGAGUCUAAUUGUUGUUAAUCUCCUUUCUAAAAUAAGCAUUUAUGUUCCUUUCAUCUAUGCCUUUUUUCAAAGAGAAGUCUUUCCUUCAGCCAGUUCCCUCACUAGUCUCCCUCCUCAACUUUGCUUUUGCCUACUUGCUGCCUAGAACUGAAGCCAGUAACACAGGCGAAGGUAGUCCUUUCACUUUAGAAUAGCAUUUUAAUUUUAUAAUUAUUUUUUUCCACUUGAGUGUUAACCUUUUUGACCUUAUCAGCUGAAUGAAUAGAGACUUAACAGAGCUGCCUGCAAUUAGCUCACCUCUUGCUCAUGAGCAGUUAUACUUAGUUAUGAAUAACUGAAAUUCAGAACAUUCUUUGCAAGGUACAUUACUUCACUCUAAAAAGUAAAGAAUUUGCUGGAUGUUAAUGUGCCCAUUUUACUCAUUUCUACACAGUUAAAAUUACAGGAGAGAGCAUGUAACUGGUAAAUCCCUCUCAAUUUCUGAUGAUUUUUAUGAAUAUAAUCACUGCUGAAGUAGCUGAAUCUAAGAGCUUUUAAUCAUACACUUCAAAUUUAGGAUUAUGAAUCACAAUAAUUUUACAAUAAAUUAAUUAGAACCAAUAUUCUUUUGACAUGCUUCCUCAUUUUUGAAUACAAUUUUUUAAAACCUGUGGUUUAAUAUGAUAUCUUACUUCACAAUCAAACUGAAAUACAGUGUCAUCAUCAUCAGUUUGUUUGUCAACAGGAACUCCAUUCCAGAAUUUCUUGUUCGGACGGAGGAAAAAACAAACAAACAAAGCGACAAAUUGGACCCAAGAAUACAGAUUCUGAAAGUUUCUGCAAAUUGAAAAAAAAAAUAAAUAAAAAAAAAAAAUAAACAGUGAGGUUUUUACAUGAUACUGUAAAAUAUUGAUAGUCUUAAAAUAGCAAUCCAAAACAAGAAGACAACAGUUUCACUCAAACAUUUAAAAAUAAGUAUUUUGGUAGAAAUAAAUAUAUCCCUGCAAAACUUUCAGAUGUUAAUCUUGCAGUAAACUGCCAAAAGUUUCAGUUACAACUCCACCAAGAGAGGGGUGCUUAAUUUUCUUUUUCUUUCUGUCUUUCUGUCUGUCUUUCUGUCUGUCUGUCUGUCUUCUAAAAAAAAGUCCUAACUGCUGUCUGCUAACAAAAAUCAAGUAGCAUACAUUCUAUGGCACUAUACAGUUAGGAAUUAUAAGAUCUAAGCAAUUGCAUCUCUAAUCCUAAUUGCAUCAUCUAUUGCUUAUGUUCAUAAAAAUCAGGGUGUUGUUUUUGGGGUCCUGCUGGAAAUAAUUUAACAUAAUUUGGUCAAACUGUCCAUUGAAAUUUCAGCCAGUUUCCACUCAAAAUCUUCCUUCAGUGUAUCCUUGCCUGGUCCUGGUCCUGCUUCCUCUUAUCAGUUUAGCCAGAAAUCUGGAAAUUCCUACCCCCAUGAGUAAUGCACAAGGCUGUAAUUUCUCUCUGCAUCUCCUCCUCCUAUGGGUCUGCUUUGAAAGGAGCUAAUAAUUAAAAGGAAAAGACUCUUGGCCCUUGUCAUGGUUUUAUUAAACUUGCUUACGUGGUGGUUUUAAUUAA
Anas platyrhynchos (mallard) is the source of this 4757-nucleotide non-coding RNA. NCBI's taxonomy places the organism in Eukaryota, Metazoa, Chordata, Aves, Anseriformes, Anatidae. The record is from RefSeq and is a predicted model, not a curated record.